This 18-nucleotide transfer RNA is filed under the name Passiflora morifolia. RNAcentral's name for it is "partial tRNA-Thr". Lineage: Eukaryota; Viridiplantae; Streptophyta; Magnoliopsida; Malpighiales; Passifloraceae. RNAcentral also lists the same sequence under 3 other names. The record is from RNAcentral.
GCCCGCUUAGCUCAGAGG